This is a long non-coding RNA of Cygnus olor (mute swan), 508 nucleotides long. RefSeq lists it as uncharacterized. The record is from RefSeq and is a predicted model, not a curated record. NCBI's taxonomy places the organism in Eukaryota, Metazoa, Chordata, Aves, Anseriformes, Anatidae. The transcript is spliced from 4 exons.
ACACAAGUAUGGGUUUUAAUGCCAGUAAGUAUAUAUUUAAAGCUUGCAUUGGAACUUUAUUUCUGCACUUCACAUGGGAAACAAAAAAAGCCAUAAAGGGAAUAAAGACCUUCAUAAGGUUUGAUGAAGCUUCACAGAAGCCACAAAAGAACAAGCAUUGCACAAAGGUAAAAUCUUCAAGAAGAAUGGCUGACUAGUCUUGCAAGAAGGCAGUUAGCUGGGACACAUCUUGACUGGACUCCUCCACACAAGAACUGACACCCAUACAAAAUACCAAAAGAUGAACGGUAACUGUGAUCACAGACGAUAAAUUUUAGAACAAAAAUGCUGUGGAUAUAUUGAAGCAGAUUUCCCACUAAUGUCACCACAAAUCAUUGGCAUAAAUAAAGAGAAAAUGGAUUGAACGGAAAAAUGAACAAGGCAUGAAUCAGCCAGUCAGAGGUCUCUGGCAUCUGAAUACACUGGUUAAAGAAAAAAAGAAAAAAAGAAAAAAAAAGAAAAUAAAAGA